Molecule: long non-coding RNA, 4094 nt
Organism: Cavia porcellus (domestic guinea pig)
Lineage: Eukaryota; Metazoa; Chordata; Mammalia; Rodentia; Caviidae
Exons: 3
Source: RefSeq, a predicted model, not a curated record
CUGACAGUGCUUCAAAUUCAUUCUGUUGACUCCCGAAAGCUUAGUAGAUCCUGACUGUUAUUCUAAAUCUUAUAACGUGACACCUCUUUCCAUUAACCUUUUUUAGUAUAAAUCCUCACAGAUGUGUGUAAUUUCCUGAUGAUCCCACGUAUUUCUGCAUAGGUUUAUUUUAUGCUGUAUCUCCCAUUAAUUGCCUUCUCUGCUUCUUGAUGACUGGUUAGUCACUUAGUCUGCCAGAGACAAGUGAUGCUGCCUCAUACUCAUUCCUCAUUGGCUGGAGCGGAAGUCAGUAUGCCUUUUAAAAACAGUUUCCUUAAGGUCUCUUUAUCAUUGAUAUCUUCAUAUGAGUGUUAGAAUUGCGUGUUAGAUUUAAAUGUCAGAGUUUUGGGGAAGGGAAAUCUCUGUGGGUCUUCUAGGGCACAGCACCCUGGCAUCUACCAAAUUGCCCUGAUCUCAAGGAAUGGUGGGAUUGGGAGAUGAUACAGCUUCAGUCCCCCAACAGUGAGAUCGGUGAGAUCGUGGACCUCGAACAGGUGCAGCCUAGCGGGAGGAAGUAUUGCAGGAAAUAAGGAAGGAGCAACAUCAGCACUUUCCUGUAUUUAUUGUGGGGAGUCCAAGAGGGCCUCUGCAGAGUCACCACUUAAAGCUCCCCUUUGCGGAUCUGUAUGCCUCUAAUGAAUGGAAAUGAAUGGUAACUCAAGACCCUUGGUGAGCAGCUGGGUCAACCAAAAUAUUUCAUGGUGUCCUAGGGAAUAAGAAAAUCAAAUUCCAAAAUGGAUGCAACUAGAGACCAUACCCAUAAAUGAAGUAAACCAGAGUCACAUGCGUCAACAUUAUACGUCUCCCUGGUGUGAGGAACUGAAAGCAUACAUAAGGUCCAAAAUGAACAAUAGAUACUGUGAAACGGGAAGAAGUGAUUUAAAAGGAAAAAGGAACCAGGAUGGGGAAGGGGGAAAGAAAGAAGGGAAAAGGAAAAAAAAAACCCAAAUACAAGAUAGUUAUACUACUAAUUUCUCUUAGUUCAUUGACAAGAAAGGUUUGUGUUAAUAUCAUUUGGAGAACUUUUAAAGCCCGUAUCUUGUACUCUGAUUAACUACUUUAGAGAGAACAAUACUUGCUGUAUGAACUAUUGUUGUUAUCUUACUAUUUUAUUAUGAAAUUUUGAUUUACUUUUUUUCCAUUAAAAAAAGAAAAAGAAAAUCAAACUCUGACUCACUUUCCCAAGGAUCCCAGGGGAACUGUACACCUGUGUACUAAGUGACAGAUGGUUCAAUCUUCCUUCCCUUCAUCUACCCCACUCGAUGUUUAAAAAUAAGAUGCCUGUGUCCUUCUGGGACAUUUUGAAGCUGAGUGUUGCUGUCCUUCUAAAUCUAUGGUUUUCCUUUUAGGACAAGCUUGUGAGCAGAGCCAGAUUAUUAGGUUGACCUCCAACCUGAUAUACUAUAGCAUAGUAUUUACCUAGAACAUAAAAGGCAUUUCAGAGAUUUAAUAAAAAGAUGGUUUAAUGUAUAAAUGCUAAGUAAACAAAAACAGGUAUUGAAAGAGUUUUGGCCCAGACAGGACACUGUAGCCAGUAAAGCCUCAGGCGGGACCGAGGAGCUCCAUCUCCCCCCCGCCCUAGGGAUUUACCUAUGGCGCCAAAAGAAUACCAAUGGGCUACCUGUGCAUCACUAAUGCCCCUUAGGUUCCACCCCAAACCUAGGCUACUUAUAUGCCCCCACUCCACGUGUUCCACGGAGAGAUCGCCAACCCCGGGGGGAGAUGCCACACCCCUGGGGAUCGGGGGUGUCUCUCCACGCAUUCUCAAAAUAAAGGUCAUUUAUAUUUCAUACUUCUUAUCUUUUCAGCCACUGCUGGUCCCCCCCAGUUCUGUGGUAUGGUUCCCUGACCGGGAACGGCAGAUGAGAGACUCCUGGGCCCUCCCAGUUUGAGCCCCCUGCCAUUCAGGACCAGGACCUGACUACAUCCUGCAUUAGUUCCUCACUUCUACACUCUGGAGCUGUAAACUUGUCACUGCUCGCUCACAAACAACACCAACCCAAUUUACCACAGGUGAGCAACCCUCGGAGAUUGCCGCUGGGCCAGGCCCCAGGCGGGUUUUCUCCCCCUUUCUGUGGGUUCGCAUGACACUCUCACGUCCUUAGAUAGCCUAAGGCAGGGUCUUUCUGGGCCAACCUGUGUCCACACUGGGAGACUCUCACGUCCUUCAGAGCUUUUUAAGUUCUCAUGGGCAGAGCUGUUACUAAACCCACAUGAAAUCCGCUUGUAUAUUGGUGACAGCCAAUUAUUACAAGUUUUGGAACCAUAAAAUACCGAUCUGUCUAGAGUAAAAAGUGACGACUUUAAACUUAGUAGACCACAGUCCAUUGCUUCAUCUGGCUAUAACUCUGUGGGCCAGACCCUACACCAGAUUUUAUCUUGGGGACCACUUCCUGUCCCCCUCAAAAAACCAUUCCUAUUUAUAGCUUAUCACACUGGUGACAAGUUUACAAAGCUCUCUAUCUUUAAGCCUUUGUUUUGGGAAUGUGCAUCCUUUCCCUUCCAGGAUCCCUCCCCCUCCCCACACUUAAAGAGAUAAUAGCGUCCUUCCUUGCAGCCUUUCAGAGCUUUCUCAGCGUCUCCUUUCCUCCCUGCUUCCCCUCCCACCCCGCUGCAAGCCGACCCAUUCCCCGCUGAGAUAAAAAAAGAUGAGCCCAAACAGUGUUGAGAGAUCCCUGUGGGCUACUUUAAGCUCUCAUGCCGCGCUCCAGCCCAAACAGUGUUGGGAGAUACUGCUGCUUUAGGCUUUCACGCUGUGGCCCAACGCUGCGUGGUAUCUUGGCUCUCAUGCCACGCUCCAAGUCCAUGCGGGGUCUGCUCUAACACCGUGCCCUAAUCCGUGUGCCCCGUGAACAGUUCCAGUUCCAUGUGGCAGCUCAGCUCUGUGCUGGUCCAUUGGUCUGCCAGUGUGUAAGAUCCCAGUUUCGUGCUGCAUCCCAACUCCGCCUCCCAGCCCCGCCCCCCAUGUGUAGCCAUCACCACUGCCACCCUGCGCAUGUUUCCAGGGACAGUCCCAGUUUGCCCUGCGUGCUACAUCCCGGCGCUCACCCCGUCUUCACUCUGUGUACCCAACCUCCACGCUCCACCGGUGCGCCAAAACAUAAACAGUAGCUCGGCAGCUUGGCUCAGAGAGAUGACAAUAACACUUGUGACACUGGGAGUUCUGAGACAGGUAAACCGACACAAGGUGGAGCUUCCUGCCCCCUCCCCAUGGACCAUUCCUCAAAUGCAGCAGAAGACAUUGGGCAAGAGAGUGCUCCAUCCUGGCAUUCUUUGAGACCUUACCCCAGGGCUCCUGGACUGUCCUAGCCACCAGAGAGUGAGUAAGCCAUCCUGACUUCUAGCCCUCACAGGAAAUGCCAACAUUGCCAGAUUCAUCAUUGACAGAUCUGCUUAAACUUGCUGCUAAAGACUGAUGGGGCUCAGGGCCAACAACAGCCCCCUUUAUGGGUGUCCAAGCAUCCAAGUUCCACUAAAAGUCUCAGGUGUAACAUAUAUGCUUUCACCAGUGAAGUUGUCCUGGCUAAAACACCUGGCACCAGCUUCUACAUGGGCAUCAAUUGUCAUCCUGUCCUAGGCUUCAGUACAUCCCCUAGGCUCCAGUACACCGCCUUCUUCCAGCAGGAAGCAGUUAAAGAAAGAAAUCUUUGCCCCUUUUUGAAAUAAUAAUCAUAAGACGGGAUAUGAAAAAGUUUUGGCCCAUACAGGACACUGUAGCCAGUAAAGCCUCAGGCGGGACCAAGGAGCUCCAUCUUCCCCACCCCUAGGAAUUUACCUAUGGUGCCAAAAGAAUACCAAUGGGCUACCUGUGCAUCACUAAUGUCCCUUAGGUUCCACCCCAAACCUAGGCUACUUAUAUGCCUCCACUCCACGUGUUCCACAGAGAGAUCGCUGACCCCGGGGGGAGAUGCCACACCCCAGGGGUUUGGGGGUGUCUCUCCCUACAUUCUCAAAAUAAAGGUCAUUUAUAAUUCAUACUUCUUAUCUUUUCAGCCGCACCGCUGGUCCCCCACAGUUCUAUCAGGUAUCAAUAUAUUAAUCAAAAAUAGGUUAAU